UACGUAGGUGGCGAGCGUUAUCCGGAAUUAUUGGGCGUAAAGGGUGCGUAGGCGGUCUGUUAAGUUCAUGGUCAAAUUGUGGGGCUCAACCCCAUCGCGCCAUGGAUACUGGCAGACUAGAGUAUUGGAGAGGCAAGUGGAAUUCCAUGUGUAGCGGUAAAAUGCGUAGAUAUAUGGAGGAACACCGGUGGCGAAGGCGACUUGCUAGCCAAAGACUGACGCUGAGGCACGAAAGCGUGGGGAGCAAAUAGG
This 252-nucleotide ribosomal RNA is filed under the name uncultured bacterium. RNAcentral describes it as "partial 16S ribosomal RNA". It matches the Rfam family "Bacterial small subunit ribosomal RNA", at positions 524 to 776 of the family's 1533-position model. The record is from RNAcentral. RNAcentral also lists the same sequence under 1 other name.